UCCCUGCUGGACUAGUGGCUAGCAUGCAGCGCUUUCAUUGCCGCAGUCCGGGUUCGAGUCCCGGUCAGGGAA
Non-coding RNA from Pangasius djambal, 72 nucleotides. The record is from the annotation of a GenBank genome assembly. NCBI's taxonomy places the organism in Eukaryota, Metazoa, Chordata, Actinopteri, Siluriformes, Pangasiidae.